UUGAAGAGUUUGAUCAUGGCUCAGAUUGAACGCUGGCGGCAGGCCUAACACAUGCAAGUCGAGCGGAAACGAGUUAACUGAACCUUCGGGGAACGUUAACGGCGUCGAGCGGCGGACGGGUGAGUAAUGCCUAGGAAAUUGCCCUGAUGUGGGGGAUAACCAUUGGAAACGAUGGCUAAUACCGCAUGAUGCCUACGGGCCAAAGAGGGGGACCUUCGGGCCUCUCGCGUCAGGAUAUGCCUAGGUGGGAUUAGCUAGUUGGUGAGGUAAGGGCUCACCAAGGCGACGAUCCCUAGCUGGUCUGAGAGGAUGAUCAGCCACACUGGAACUGAGACACGGUCCAGACUCCUACGGGAGGCAGCAGUGGGGAAUAUUGCACAAUGGGCGCAAGCCUGAUGCAGCCAUGCCGCGUGUGUGAAGAAGGCCUUCGGGUUGUAAAGCACUUUCAGUCGUGAGGAAGGUUUAUGCGUUAAUAGCGUAUAGAUUUGACGUUAGCGACAGAAGAAGCACCGGCUAACUCCGUGCCAGCAGCCGCGGUAAUACGGAGGGUGCGAGCGUUAAUCGGAAUUACUGGGCGUAAAGCGCAUGCAGGUGGUUUGUUAAGUCAGAUGUGAAAGCCCGGGGCUCAACCUCGGAAUAGC
Molecule: ribosomal RNA, 641 nt
Filed under: Allocatenococcus thiocycli
Lineage: Bacteria; Pseudomonadati; Pseudomonadota; Gammaproteobacteria; Vibrionales; Vibrionaceae
Description: bacterial SSU rRNA
Rfam family: Bacterial small subunit ribosomal RNA
Source: RNAcentral